Molecule: non-coding RNA, 45 nt
Filed under: Schistosoma curassoni
Lineage: Eukaryota; Metazoa; Platyhelminthes; Trematoda; Strigeidida; Schistosomatidae
Source: RNAcentral
AUCCAAUUGAUGAGUCCCAAGCAAGACGAAACGCGCGUCCUUGAU